Delphinapterus leucas (beluga whale) is the source of this 211-nucleotide small nuclear RNA. Its record names the gene U4. It matches the Rfam family "U4 spliceosomal RNA". Rfam says of the family: U4 small nuclear RNA (U4 snRNA) is a component of the major U2-dependent spliceosome. The structure of U4 snRNA from yeast and human has been reported. U4 snRNA presents a k-turn RNA motif in the 5p-SL related to recognition of Snu13 protein. NCBI's taxonomy places the organism in Eukaryota, Metazoa, Chordata, Mammalia, Artiodactyla, Monodontidae. The record is from Ensembl.
AGCUUUGCGCAGUGGCAGUAUCGUAGCCAAUGAGGCUUAUCCGAGGUGCGAUUAUUGCUAAUUGAAAAAUGUCUCCAAACAUUUCCAAAUGUCCCCAAGGGGCCAAAAUACCCCUGGUUGAGAACCGCUAUUCUAGUGCUUGGCAUCUAGUGAUUGUUCCACAAAUAUUAGAUGUUAUUAUUUAUUUAUUUGUUGGCUGUGCCUCGCGGCA